GAUGAACGCUGGCGGCGUGCCUAAUACAUGCGAGUCGAGCGAACGGACGAGAAGCUUGCUUCUCUGAUGUUAGCGGCGGACGGGUGAGUAACACGUGGAUAACCUACCUAUAAGACUGGGAUAACUUCGGGAAACCGGAGCUAAUACCGGAUAAUAUUUUGAACCGCAUGGUUCAAAAGUGAAAGACGGUCUUGCUGUCACUUAUAGAUGGAUCCGCGCUGCAUUAGCAAGUUGGUAAGGUAACGGCUUACCAAGGCAACGAUGCAUAGCCGACCUGAGAGGGUGAUCGGCCACACUGGAACUGAGACACGGUCCAGACUCCUACGGGAGGCAGCAGUAGGGAAUCUUCCGCAAUGGGCGAAAGCCUGACGGAGCAACGCCGCGUGAGUGAUGAAGGUCUUCGGAUCGUAAAACUCUGUUAUUAGGGAAGAACAUAUGUGUAAGUAACUGUGCACAUCUUGACGGUACCUAAUCAGAAAGCCACGGCUAACUACGUG
Molecule: ribosomal RNA, 497 nt
Filed under: uncultured bacterium
Lineage: Bacteria
Description: partial 16S ribosomal RNA
Rfam family: Bacterial small subunit ribosomal RNA
Source: RNAcentral